Non-coding RNA from Salmo salar (Atlantic salmon), 444 nucleotides. The record is from RefSeq and is a predicted model, not a curated record. Lineage: Eukaryota; Metazoa; Chordata; Actinopteri; Salmoniformes; Salmonidae.
UCUGGAUCAGAUAGGCUAGAGGGAAGGACUAGGAACAGGACAUUCCUACAGCCCUGUCACACACAAACACACAGUUUAGGGGUGCUUUGUGUGGGGGGGUUGAGUGGGAGAUGCAUAUAGGAAGGUUGCAGGGAGAUGCCUACCCCUAUACGCCAAUUGGUUUGGUCACCCAAAUCUAUCACUCCCACCCCAUAUCCUCCUGUGUGCUAUUGCUGGUUGCCAGGGAAACGGUGAUGCUGAUUUAUCAACCUUUUUCUCUUAGACCCAGACAGCCCAGGAAAGUUGAGGGAGGGAGAGAGACUGUCUGGUUGCACACUGUUCCUGAAUGAAGAUGGGUGCUCUCCAGUGAAUUUAGACUUCCUUGUCAUAGAACAGACCUCAUAGAAUGGACCUCACAAAUUCACAACCAGACCUCACCAGUCAGGCCCCGCAAACCAGACUGAA